RNAcentral lists this ribosomal RNA (253 nucleotides) under uncultured bacterium. RNAcentral describes it as "partial 16S ribosomal RNA". It matches the Rfam family "Bacterial small subunit ribosomal RNA", at positions 524 to 776 of the family's 1533-position model. The record is from RNAcentral.
UACAUGGGGUGCAAACGUUGCUCGGAAUUAUUGGGGGUAAAGCGCACGUUGGCGGUUUGUUAAGUCGGAUGUGAAAUCCCUCGGCUCAACUGAGGAAGUGCACCCGAAACUGGCAGGCUUGAGUACUAAAGAGGGUCGCGGAAUUCCCGGUGUAGAGGUGAAAUUCGUAGAUAUGGGGAGGAACACCGGUGGCGAAGGCGGCCACCUGGACGGUAACUGACGCUGAGACGCGAAAGCGUGGGGAGCAAACAGG